GGGAUAAUAGUAUAGUGGUUAGUACUUCUCGUUGUGGUUAAACACAGCGAUCCGAGAGGACCCAGGUUCGAUUCCUGGUUAUCCCA
Molecule: non-coding RNA, 86 nt
Organism: Chaetomium tenue
Lineage: Eukaryota; Fungi; Ascomycota; Sordariomycetes; Sordariales; Chaetomiaceae
Source: the annotation of a GenBank genome assembly